RNAcentral lists this ribosomal RNA (592 nucleotides) under uncultured bacterium. Its description in RNAcentral is "bacterial SSU rRNA". It matches the Rfam family "Bacterial small subunit ribosomal RNA", at positions 334 to 917 of the family's 1533-position model. The record is from RNAcentral.
GGCUCCUACGGGAGGCAGCAGUAGGGAAUCUUCGGCAAUGGACGGAAGUCUGACCGAGCAACGCCGCGUGAGUGAAGAAGGUUUUCGGAUCGUAAAGCUCUGUUGUAAGAGAAGAACGAGUGUGAGAGUGGAAAGUUCACACUGUGACGGUAUCUUACCAGAAAGGGACGGCUAACUACGUGCCAGCAGCCGCGGUAAUACGUAGGUCCCGAGCGUUGUCCGGAUUUAUUGGGCGUAAAGCGAGCGCAGGCGGUUAGAUAAGUCUGAAGUUAAAGGCUGUGGCUUAACCAUAGUACGCUUUGGAAACUGUUUAACUUGAGUGCAAGAGGGGAGAGUGGAAUUCCAUGUGUAGCGGUGAAAUGCGUAGAUAUAUGGAGGAACACCGGUGGCGAAAGCGGCUCUCUGGCUUGUAACUGACGCUGAGGCUCGAAAGCGUGGGGAGCAAACAGGAUUAGAUACCCUGGUAGUCCACGCCGUAAACGAUGAGUGCUAGGUGUUAGACCCUUUCCGGGGUUUAGUGCCGUAGCUAACGCAUUAAGCACUCCGCCUGGGGAGUACGACCGCAAGGUUGAAACUCAAAGGAAUUGACGGA